CCUACGGGAGACAGCAGUGAGGAAUAUUGGUCAAUGGGCGCGAGUCUGAACCAGCCAAGUAGCGUGAAGGAUGACUGCCCUAUGGGUUGUAAACUUCUUUUAUAAGGGAAUAAAGUGAGGCACGCGUGCCUUUUUGUAUGUACUUUAUGAAUAAGGAUCGGCUAACUCCGUGCCAGCAGCCGCGGUAAUACGGAGGAUCCGAGCGUUAUCCGGAUUUAUUGGGUUUAAAGGGAGCGUAGAUGGUUUGUUAAGUCAGUUGUGAAAGUUUGCGGCUCAACCGUAAAAUUGCAAUUGAUACUGGCAGUCUAGAGUGUAGUUGAGGUAGGCGGAAUGCGUGGUGUAGCGGUGAAAUGCUUAGAUAUCACGAAGAACACCGAUUGCGAAGGCAGCUUACUAAGCUGCAACUGACAUUGAGGCUCGAAAGUGUGGGGAUCAAACAGGAUUAGAUACCCCGGUAGUC
This 460-nucleotide ribosomal RNA is filed under the name uncultured bacterium. Its description in RNAcentral is "partial 16S ribosomal RNA". It matches the Rfam family "Bacterial small subunit ribosomal RNA", at positions 338 to 795 of the family's 1533-position model. The record is from RNAcentral.